GACGAACGCUGGCGGCGUGCCUAAUACAUGCAAGUAGAACGCUGAAGGAGGAGCUUGCUUCUCCGGAUGAGUUGCGAACGGGUGAGUAACGCGUAGGUAACCUGCCUGGUAGCGGGGGAUAACUAUUGGAAACGAUAGCUAAUACCGCAUAACAGUAGAUAUCGCAUGAUAGCUGCUUGAAAGGUGCAAUUGCACCACUACCAGAUGGACCUGCGUUGUAUUAGCUAGUUGGUGAGGUAACGGCUCACCAAGGCCACGAUACAUAGCCGACCUGAGAGGGUGAUCGGCCACACUGGGACUGAGACACGGCCCAGACUCCUACGGGAGGCAGCAGUAGGGAAUCUUCGGCAAUGGACGGAAGUCUGACCGAGCAACGCCGCGUGAGUGAAGAAGGUUUUCGGAUCGUAAAGCUCUGUUGUAAGAGAAGAACGAGUGUGAGAGUGGAAAGUUCACACUGUGACGGUAUCUUACCAGAAAGGGACGGCUAACUACGUGC
This 496-nucleotide ribosomal RNA is filed under the name uncultured Streptococcus sp. RNAcentral's name for it is "bacterial SSU rRNA". It matches the Rfam family "Bacterial small subunit ribosomal RNA", at positions 28 to 508 of the family's 1533-position model. Lineage: Bacteria; Bacillati; Bacillota; Bacilli; Lactobacillales; Streptococcaceae. The record is from RNAcentral.